AUUUUUUUAAAUAUAAUUUUAACUAGAAAUUCAUUUCUUAAUAAUAACAAAAACAAAAAUAACAUUUUUAGUGGAAAAAAGAAAAUUAAAUAGAAAUCUUUUUGAUGUAUUCAAGACUCAUCUUUAGCUAUCUAACUCAAAAGAAAAUAAACCAGAUAGUCUUUUCACAGUAGUAUUAAGCCGCUUCCAGGCAUUGGAGAUUGCUUCUGAUGCUUUCAUGUUGAUAACUUCCAUUUUUGUCCAAUGUUUAAUUUUCAGAACUCUGAUUAUAUAAUCUUCAUUGUGACGAUUGAUUUGCUAUAUAAUUUUGGCUUCAUAUCAACAAUGUUAAUAAGUUCUAAGACACACAAUGAUUGUGUCAUAGAUAUUGAACUUUUCAAAUCUAUUUUGUUGAGGAUCGUGGAUUUGCAGAUCGGAAGUAAAUGUGGAACUGAUAGUACAAAAAACACUUUUAUUAUAACACUUAUAAAAGAACAAAGGCUAGGAUAGAGACAAAUACAACCAGAUGACUCGACUGGAUACACCAC
Molecule: long non-coding RNA, 527 nt
Filed under: Androctonus crassicauda
Lineage: Eukaryota; Metazoa; Arthropoda; Arachnida; Scorpiones; Buthidae
Source: RNAcentral